Molecule: ribosomal RNA, 675 nt
Filed under: Arsenophonus symbiont of Protocalliphora sp.
Lineage: Bacteria; Pseudomonadati; Pseudomonadota; Gammaproteobacteria; Enterobacterales; Morganellaceae
Description: bacterial SSU rRNA
Rfam family: Bacterial small subunit ribosomal RNA
Source: RNAcentral
AGCACCGGCUAACUCCGUGCCAGCAGCCGCGGUAAUACGGAGGGUGCGAGCGUUAAUCCGAAUUACUGGGCGUAAAGGGCACGCAGGCGGUUAAUUAAGUUGGAUGUGAAAUCCCCGGGCUUAACCUGGGAAUGGCAUUCAAGACUGGUUAGCUAGAGUCUUGUAGAGGGGGGUAGAAUUCCAUGUGUAGCGGUGAAAUGCGUAGAGAUGUGGAGGAAUACCGGUGGCGAAGGCGGCCCCCUGGACAAAGACUGACGCUCAUGUGCGAAAGCGUGGGGAGCAAACAGGAUUAGAUACCCUGGUAGUCCACGCUGUAAACGAUGUCGAUUUGGAGGUUGUGGUCAAGAACUGUGGCCUCCGGAGCUAACGCGUUAAAUCGACCGCCUGGGGAGUACGGCCGCAAGGUUAAAACUCAAAUGAAUUGACGGGGGCCCGCACAAGCGGUGGAGCAUGUGGUUUAAUUCGAUGCAACGCGAAGAACCUUACCUACUCUUGACAUCCAGAGAAGCUUUUAGAGAUAGAGGCGUGCCUUCGGGAACUUUGAGACAGGUGCUGCAUGGCUGUCGUCAGCUCGUGUUGUGAAAUGUUGGGUUAAGUCCCGCAACCAGCGCAACCCUUAUCCUUUGUUGCCAGCGAUACGGUCGGGAACUCAAAGGAGACUGCCGGUGAUAAACC